CCUGCCACCUCGUGAAGACAGUGUCUUGCUUCCCCUUUGCCUUCUGCCAUGAUUACAAGUUUCCUGAGGCCUUCCCAGCCACGCUGAGCUGUGGCAGAGAUGAGGAUCAACCAGCAAAUGAGAUUGUGAGAGUGGCGUGUGAGGUAGGAGAAAGAAGAGAAUCGAAUCUAGGAAGGGAUAUGGAUGGAGCUGGAAACCAUUAUCCUCAGCAAACUAAUGCAGGAACAGAAAACCAAACACUGCAUGUUCUCACUUCACCUGCAGGGAUCCUCCCUUGUGGCCCUCUCCCUGCUUGAAGUCCCACCCAAAAGGCUUGGGGACAUAGCAGCAGCUGCCUUGGUACAGAGGAUAGAUACAUUUUGUUUGAUGCCCUCUCUCCAUACUACAAUGCCUGGACCGAGGAAUUCCUCCCAUGUUUUGUUUCUCAGUCCUUCCUUGUCUUUCAUGACCUUGACACUUUUGAAGAAUACAAUUGAGGUAUUUUGUAGAAUGUCUCUCAAUUUAGUUUUGUCUGAUGUCUCCCAUGAUUACACUGAGGUUACACAUUUUAGCAAGAAUGCUGCAGAAGUGUUCUUAGGGCAUCUUACUGGGAGGUACGUGAUGUCGAUGUUAACCCUGAUCAUUUGGUUAAAGUAA
Molecule: long non-coding RNA, 636 nt
Filed under: Piliocolobus tephrosceles (Ugandan red Colobus)
Lineage: Eukaryota; Metazoa; Chordata; Mammalia; Primates; Cercopithecidae
Description: lncRNA (ENSPTEG00000009797.1)
Source: RNAcentral